This 2217-nucleotide unclassified non-coding RNA is filed under the name Hevea brasiliensis (rubber tree). Lineage: Eukaryota; Viridiplantae; Streptophyta; Magnoliopsida; Malpighiales; Euphorbiaceae. The record is from RNAcentral.
UGCUCAUGAUAAACUGGCACUCUGCUAUGCCCUUUCUCCAAGACCAAAUUCAUCAAAUCCCUGUACAUAAGCAGUAUGUAGUGCAGAUAAUAAGGAUGAAUUUAUGCAACAGAAGUAAGUUCCUUUGCAGUUUAAGCUCUUCAGAAACAUCUUACUUGUCAAGUUUGGCAUUUAUAUCAAUCGCAAAAGUUUCAGAUAUAGGAGUCAUGGCAUCACCAGCUGUUUUCUCACUGAGCUCUAGUGCUCCUGCUAUAAUCGUUGUCUCAUCAUGAGUCAGUUCUCCACCUUUUCCUGCCUCAUUACCAUGAAAGUUUACUAGUGUUUUCAACUCAGCUCUGCGAAACAGUGCUACAUGUCCAUGACCCAGCAGAAAGUCCAGAAGCUUGCUUAUAGGAUAAGCAACAGGGAAGCAGAUCCACACAAGAACACGAACAAUUGGAGCCACUGUUGCACCAAUUGCCAAACCAUAACGAGAACAGACAGAUUGUGGUAUAAUCUCACCAAAUAGGAGAAUCAAGGUAACUGAAAUUAGAAUAGCACCCCAAGCUGUAACCAGACUAUCGAGAAAAAUAGGAAGGGCCUCCAUGGCAGCAGCAUUGCAAAUGAGCAGCGUGCAGAGCAAUAAAUGUUGAUUUUUGACAACCGGCAAUAUCUUUGCUGUUAUCACAAGGGACAAAUAAUAAUUGUGCAUUGCAUAUGAUCAAAGUAAUAUAACUUUCUAAAAUAGCACAUAUGGAGCUGUCAUUUUCCAGAGAGGUGCAGCACAAUUUGUAACAUUGUACAUUAUUGGAAUUUAGAUCUCCAACAAUCAUCAUCAUGCAAACUUGACUAUUACACAUGAAAAAUAUAAAUCCUGAAAUAGUCUUCAUAUAGCAACUUUUUUUUUCUUUAUAUUUAUCAAGGGUAUCCAGCUAAAACAAAUUAAAAGCUAUCAAUAGAACUUCUCUUCCUCAGAUGCAUCAUCAAUAAUGAGCAGUAAGUUUAGUGCUUCUUGAUGCAGCAAUCCUCAGACCGUCAACCUCAUAACUUUUGCAUUAAUUACAAAGCCUAAAAAGAUAAUUCAACUAGCUUAAUUACAUACCCUAGAACAUGAACUGCCUAAACUCACUAAUGCUGUAUUGGAAGAGAAGUGUACUUAGAAAUUUUAUUUACAUCAACCAUGAACAUAGUAUUUAUGGUCAUUGGGCUAUCAAAACCCAAGCUAGAGGUAACUCCAUUAAUUUUUUGACAGAUGGGUUCUAUUCAGUCACAUCAAGCUACAAAAACCCACACUAGAGUAUCCUAAAAUUAUAAGCAUUCACAAGUGACUGUGAUAGUGAUUCUUGAAAUAUUGUUAAAUCAUCAUGCUAUAGAUUUAAGUUGCCUUGUGACUAUGACAUGAAUUUCCAUCACAAAGUCUUCAACAAAUUUCCAAAAUUACACAAUUUCAAGUGAGGACAUUCAUUACAGAGUUUCCAAGGCCGUACAGCUAAUAAAAGAUUAAUGUCUGAUUUGAGUAAAUGAUAACCGGCAGGACCAACUGUGAAAUUGAUCAGUGGAGAAACAAAUGCACAAGACAAACUAAUAGAUACCAACAAGGUCGCAAGUAAACGUCAGAAAUUAACUUCUUAUGGAAAGUUUUGGCGUCAAAUUGCUGCAAAACAGCUCCAAGAAUUUUGCACAGGCAGUUGAAGAAGCAUCAAGAUCAAGUCACCAAGAUAUAAAAAAUUAUCACCCCAAAAACUAUUACAAGCAUAGAUCAACCUUCUUACUAUCACUUUCUUUAUACUUAAUUUUCUGAUCAAUCAAAUCCUUUCUUUUUUUUCCUGACUAUAAAAUCCAUCCUUUAGUCUUUGAUUGCUGCCCAUUCAUCUCUUUUUUGAUGAUUUUUUCAAAAGAAAACUUCGUCGAUCUUGAAUUUAAUGAUCUAUGAAUGAGUGAAGCACGCUUCGCUUUAAGCAACAUUUCGCAUCACCCGGCCCCACACGAAUCAAACUCCACCACCCCAAAUCAAUCUCCAAAUCUCCUUAGUUAUUUUCUGCGUGUUUGCGAUCUUUCGGGGUCCCGGACUGGGCAAGAACUUCAAGAUCGACGAUACUCAUAGACAUAAGUCCAAGAGUAAGCCCAGACAUCGAUCCAGCGAAAAUCACCAGCAAUACAAUUAUCAGAAUUUGUAUAAAGAAAUCCGUUUCACAGCACUUAUACUCCACUGCCAUUCAAUUUUUCUUCUCCAAAUCA